GCUAAACGCGAAGAACCUUACCAGGUCUUGACAUCCCUCUGAAUACCCUGGAGACAGGGUAGGCCUACGGGACAGAGGAGACAGGUGGUGCAUGGUUGUCGUCAGCUCGUGUCGUGAGAUGUUGGGUUAAGUCCCGCAACGAGCGCAACCCUUGAUUUUAGUUGCCAGCACGUAAAGGUGGGCACUCUAGAAUGACUGCCGGUGACAAACCGGAGGAAGGCGGGGAUGACGUCAAAUCAUCAUGCCCCUUAUGACCUGGGCUACACACGUACUACAAUGGCCGGUACAACGGGAGGCGAAGGGGCGACCCGGAGCGAAUCCUUAAAAGCCGGUCUCAGUUCGGAUUGCAGGCUGCAACUCGCCUGCAUGAAGUCGGAAUUGCUAGUAAUCGCGGAUCAGCAUGCCGCGGUGAAUCCGUUCCCGGGUCUUGUACACACCG
This 439-nucleotide ribosomal RNA is filed under the name uncultured bacterium. RNAcentral describes it as "bacterial SSU rRNA". It matches the Rfam family "Bacterial small subunit ribosomal RNA", at positions 954 to 1392 of the family's 1533-position model. The record is from RNAcentral.